Molecule: ribosomal RNA, 1586 nt
Filed under: metagenome
Description: bacterial LSU rRNA
Rfam family: Bacterial large subunit ribosomal RNA
Source: RNAcentral
AAAUAAGGUGAGAAUCCUUAUGGCCGAAUAUCCAAGGUUUCCAGAGUAAAGCUGAUCUGCUCUGGGUAAGUCGGGGCCUAAGGCGAGGACGAGAGUCGUAGCCGAUGGACAACAGGUGGAGAUUCCUGUACUGCGGUAUGACAGAACUGUGGGGACACGUAAGGAAAGCGGAAGCCGGGAAUGGAAAGCCCGGUGCAAGCGGGGUACCAGUCACUCUGGCAAAUCCGGGUGGCAAUGGGAAGCCGUGAUGCGGAGCGAAAUAAAGUAGCGAAGUCCGUGAGCCAUGCGUCAAGAAAAGCCGCUAUCGUUUAUACCGUACCCGUACCGUAAACCGACACAGGUGGAUGAGGAGAGAAUCCUAAGGCCGGCGGAAGAAGCAUUGUCAAGGAACUCGGCAAAAUGGCCCCGUAACUUAGGGAUAAGGGGUGCCUGGGAAACCAGGCCGCAGAGAAUAGGCUCAAGCAACUGUUUAGCAAAAACACAGGUCUAUGCGAAACCGAAAGGUGAGGUAUAUGGGCUGACGCCUGCCCGGUGCUGGAAGGUUAAGAGGAGAGGUUAGCGCAAGCGAAGCCUUGAAUUUAAGCCCCAGUAAACGGCGGCCGUAACUAUAACGGUCCUAAGGUAGCGAAAUUCCUUGUCGGGUAAGUUCCGACCCGCACGAAAGGCGUAAUGAUUUGAGCGCUGUCUCGACAAUGCAUCCGGUGAAAUUGAAGUACCAGUGAAGAUGCUGGUUACCUGCGCCAGGACGGAAAGACCCCAUGGAGCUUUACUCCAGUUUGGUACUGGGACUCGGUAUUGCAUGUACAGGAUAGGUGGGAGGCUAGGAGAUAGUAACGCCAGUUAUUAUGGAGCCGCUGUUGGGAUACCACCCUUGCAGUAUUGGGUUUCUAACCAGCCGCCGUGACCCGGCGGUGGGACAAUGCCAGACGGGGAGUUUGACUGGGGCGGUCGCCUCCGAAAGGGUAUCGGAGGCGCCCAAAGGUUCCCUCAGAAUGGACGGAAACCAUUCGAAGAGUGCAAAGGCAGAAGGGAGCUUGACUGCGACACCGACGGGUGGAGCAGGUACGAAAGUAGGGCUUAGUGAUCCGGUGGUAUUAAGUGGGAAUGCCAUCGCUCAACGGAUAAAAGCUACCCUGGGAUAACAGGCUUAUCACUCCCAAGAGUUCACAUCGACGGAGUGGUUUGGCACCUCGAUGUCGGCUCAUCGCAUCCUGGGGCUGUAGUAGGUCCCAAGGGUUGGGCUGUUCGCCCAUUAAAGCGGUACGCGAGCUGGGUUCAGAACGUCGUGAGACAGUUCGGUCCCUAUCCGGCGUGGGCGUAGGAUAUCUGAGAGGAGCUGUCCUUAGUACGAGAGGACCGGGAUGGACGGGCCGCUGGUGCAUCGGUUAGACUGCCAAGUCUACGGCCGAGUAGCCAAGCCCGGAAGGGAUAAACGCUGAAGGCAUCUAAGCGUGAAGCCCCCCUUAAGAUGAGAUAUCCCAUUCGAAAGAAGUAAACCCCCUUGAAGACGACGAGGUAGAUAGGGCAGAGGUGGAAGUGUGGCAACACAUGGAGCUGACUGUUACUAAUCGGGUGAGGGCUUGACC